UUGGAGGGCAAGUCUGGUGCCAGCAGCCGCGGUAAUUCCAGCUCCAAUAGCGUAUAUUAAAGUUGUUGCAGUUAAAAAGCUCGUAGUUGAAUUUCGGGAUUAGUACGUUGGUCGUGCCUUAGGUACGUACUGGUGUUACUGGUUUCUACCUUCUGACGAACCAUCAUGUCAUUAAUUUGGUGUGGUGGGGAAUCAGGACUGUUACUUUGAAAAAAUUAGAGUGUUUAAAGCAGGCUCGCGCUUGGAUACAUUAGCAUGGAAUAAUGAAAUAGGACGUUGAUCCUAUUUUGUUGGUUUCUAGAAUUGACGUAAUGAUUAAUAGGGAUAGUUGGGGGCAUUAGUAUUCAAUUGUCAGAGGUGAAAUUCUUGGAUUUAUUGAAGACUAACUACUGCGAAAGCAUUUGCCAAGGAUGUUUUCAUUAAUCAAGAACGAAAGUUAGGGGAUCGAAGUCGAUCAGAUACCGUCGUAGUCUUAACCAUAAACUAUGCCGACUAGGGAUCGGAUGAUAUUAAUUUUUUAAUGACUCAUUCGGCGCCUUACGGGAAAC
RNAcentral lists this ribosomal RNA (548 nucleotides) under uncultured Glomus. Its description in RNAcentral is "SSU rRNA". It matches the Rfam family "Eukaryotic small subunit ribosomal RNA", at positions 548 to 1098 of the family's 1831-position model. Lineage: Eukaryota; Fungi; Glomeromycota; Glomeromycetes; Glomerales; Glomeraceae. The record is from RNAcentral.